Molecule: ribosomal RNA, 909 nt
Filed under: uncultured bacterium
Lineage: Bacteria
Description: bacterial SSU rRNA
Rfam family: Bacterial small subunit ribosomal RNA
Source: RNAcentral
ACGCUGGCGGCAGGCUUAACACAUGCAAGUCGAACGGUAACAGGGAUUAGCUUGCUAAUUUGCUGACGAGUGGCGGACGGGUGAGUAAUGCUUGGGAAUCUGGCUUAUGGAGGGGGAUAACUACGGGAAACUGUAGCUAAUACCGCGUAAAAUCUUAGGAUUAAAGGGUGGGACUUUCGAGCCACCUGCCAUAAGAUGAGCCCAAGUGGGAUUAGGUAGUUGGUUAGGUAAAGGCUGACCAAGCCGACGAUCUCUAGCUGGUCUGAGAGGAUGACCAGCCACACUGGAACUGAGACACGGUCCAGACUCCUACGGGAGGCAGCAGUGGGGAAUAUUGCACAAUGGGGGGAACCCUGAUGCAGCCAUGCCGCGUGAAUGAAGAAGGCCUUCGGGUCGUAAAGUUCUUUCGGUGACGAGGAAGGUUGAUAGGUUAAUAGCCUAUCAAAUUGACGUUAAUCACAGAAGAAGCACCGGCUAACUCCGUGCCAGCAGCCGCGGUAAUACGGGGGGUGCGAGCGUUAAUCGGAAUAACUGGGCGUAAAGGGCACGCAGGCGGUGACUUAAGUGAGAUGUGAAAGCCCCGAGCUUAACUUGGGAAUUGCAUUUCAUACUGGGUCGCUAGAGUACUUUAGGGAGGGGUAGAAUUCCACGUGUAGCGGUGAAAUGCGUAGAGAUGUGGAGGAAUACCGAAGGCGAAGGCAGCCCCUUGGGAAUGUACUGACGCUCAUGUGCGAAAGCGUGGGGAGCAAACAGGAUUAGAUACCCUGGUAGUCCACGCUGUAAACGAUGUCGAUUUGGGGAUUGGGCUUUGAGCUUGGUGCCCGUAGCUAACGUGAUAAAUCGACCGCCUGGGGAGUACGGCCGCAAGGUUAAAACUCAAAUGAAUUGACGGGGGCCCGCACAAGCGGU